Molecule: ribosomal RNA, 417 nt
Filed under: uncultured bacterium
Lineage: Bacteria
Description: bacterial SSU rRNA
Rfam family: Bacterial small subunit ribosomal RNA
Source: RNAcentral
UUAACAGGAUUAGAUACCCUGGUAGUCCACGCCGUAAACGAUGUCGACUUGGAGGUUGUGCCCUUGAGGCGUGGCUUCCGGAGCUAACGCGUUAAGUCGACCGCCUGGGGAGUACGGCCGCAAGGUUAAAACUCAAAUGAAUUGACGGGGGCCCGCACAAGCGGUGGAGCAUGUGGUUUAAUUCGAUGCAACGCGAAGAACCUUACCUGGUCUUGACAUCCACGGAAGUUUUCAGAGAUGAGAAUGUGCCUUCGGGAACCGUGAGACAGGUGCUGCAUGGCUGUCGUCAGCUCGUGUUGUGAAAUGUUGGGUUAAGUCCCGCAACGAGCGCAACCCUUAUCCUUUGUUGCCAGCGGUCCGGCCGGGAACUCAAAGGAGACUGCCAGUGAUAAACUGGAGGAAGGUGGGGAUGACGUA